This 1214-nucleotide ribosomal RNA is filed under the name uncultured Thermoproteus sp. RNAcentral describes it as "bacterial SSU rRNA". It matches the Rfam family "Archaeal small subunit ribosomal RNA", at positions 21 to 1130 of the family's 1478-position model. The record is from RNAcentral. Lineage: Archaea; Thermoproteati; Thermoproteota; Thermoprotei; Thermoproteales; Thermoproteaceae.
CCCGACCGCUAUCGGGGUAGGGCUAAGCCAUGCGAGUCGCGCGCCCGGGGGCGCCCGGGAGCGGCGCACGGCUCAGUAACACGUGCCCAACCUACCCUCGGGAGGGGGACACCCCCGGGGAACUGGGGCCAAUCCCCCAUAGGGGAAGGGCGCUGGAAGGCCCCCUCCCCGAAAGGACGGCGGCCGAUCCGCCGCCGCCCGCCCGAGGAUGGGGGCACGGCCCAUCAGGUAGUUGGCGGGUUAAAGGCCCGCCAAGCCGAAGACGGGUAGGGGCGGUGAGAGCCGCGAGCCCCGAGAUCGGCACUGAGACAAGGGCCGAGGCCCUACGGGGUGCAGCAGGCGCGAAUACUCCGCAAUGCGGGCAACCGCGACGGGGCUACCCCGAGUGCCGGGCGAAGAGCCCGGCUUUUGCCCGGUCUAAAACGCCGGGAGAGUAAGCGGGGGGCAAGUCUGGUGUCAGCCGCCGCGGUAAUACCAGCUCCGCGAGUGGUCGGGGUGUUUACUGGGCUUAAAGCGCCCGUAGCCGGCCCGGCAAGUCGCUCCUGAAAUCCCAGGGCUCAACCCUGGGGCAGGGGGCGAUACUGCCGGGCUAGGGGGCGGAAGAGGCCGCCGGUACUCCGGGGGUAGGGGCGAAAUCCGUUAAUCCCAGGAGGACCACCAGUGGCGAAAGCGGGCGGCCAGAACGCGCCCGACGGUGAGGGGCGAAAGCCGGGGGAGCAAAGGGGAUUAGAUACCCCUGUAGUCCCGGCCGUAAACGAUGCGGGCUAGCUGUCGGCUGGGCUUAGGGCCCGGCCGGUGGCGAAGGGAAACCGUUAAGCCCGCCGCCUGGGGAGUACGGCCGCAAGGCUGAAACUUAAAGGAAUUGGCGGGGGGGCACCACAAGGGGUGAAGCUUGCGGCUUAAUUGGAGUCAACGCCGGAAACCUCACCCGGGGCGACAGCAGGAUGAAGGCCAGGCUAACGACCUUGCCGGACGAGCUGAGAGGAGGUGCAUGGCCGUCGUCAGCUCGUGCCGUGAGGUGUCCGGUUAACCCGUGGAUGGGGGGUGAUCUUUAAACCCGUAGGCGCGGGUGAUCUUUAUGGAGAUCCUUGAGUACUUUGUCGGGUUUCUCCUGGGGGAUGGCUACCUCUAUCACCACAAGAAGGAGGAGAAGUACCUCGUCAGGGUUGCUGACAGUAACAAGGAGUUCUUAGAGAUGCUUAGAACUGAAAUGU